This 795-nucleotide ribosomal RNA is filed under the name uncultured bacterium. Its description in RNAcentral is "bacterial SSU rRNA". It matches the Rfam family "Bacterial small subunit ribosomal RNA", at positions 8 to 796 of the family's 1533-position model. The record is from RNAcentral.
AGAGUUUGAUCAUGGCUCAGAUUGAACGCUGGCGGCGUGCUUAACACAUGCAAGUCGAGCGGUAACAGGUGUAGCAAUACAUGCUGACGAGCGGCGAACGGGUGAGUAAUGCUUCGGAAUCUGCCUCGUAGUGGGGAAUAACUAACCGAAAGGUUAGCUAAUGCCGCAUACGACCUUUGGGUGAAAGCGGGGGAUCGCAAGACCUCGCGCUAUGAGAUGAGCCGAAGUCGGAUUAGCUAGUUGGUGAGGUAACGGCUCACCAAGGCGACAAUCCGUAGCUGGUCUGAGAGGACGACCAGCCACACUGGGACUGAGACACGGCCCAGACUCCUACGGGAGGCAGCAGUGGGGAAUAUUGGACAAUGGGGGCAACCCUGAUCCAGCGACGCCGCGUGUGUGAAGAAGGCCUGCGGGUUGUAAAGCACUUUUAGUGGGGACAAAAAGCCAUCGGCUAAUACCGGGUGGUCUUGAUUUAACCCAAAGAAAAAGCACCGGCUAACUCUGUGCCAGCAGCCGCGGUAAUACAGAGGGUGCGAGCGUUAAUCGGAAUUACUGGGCGUAAAGCGUGCGUAGACGGUUUCGUAAGUCGGGUGUGAAAUCCCCGGGCUCAACCUGGGAAUUGCAUUCGAAACUGCGAGGCUAGGGUACGGAAGAGGGAAGCGGAAUUUCUGGUGUAGCGGUGAAAUGCGUAGAUAUCAGAAGGAACAUCAGUGGCGAAAGCGGCUUCCUGGUCCAGUACCGACGUUCAGGCACGAAAGCGUGGGGAGCAAACAGGAUUAGAUACCCUAGUAGUCC